RNAcentral lists this long non-coding RNA (5209 nucleotides) under Homo sapiens (human). RNAcentral describes it as "non-protein coding lnc-RBM11-15:2". Lineage: Eukaryota; Metazoa; Chordata; Mammalia; Primates; Hominidae. The record is from RNAcentral.
AUAGACGUGUAGAAGGCACAUCAGGGAGAGUGUCGGGGUCAGGCCAGAAACUUCACAUUAAAUCAGGGAGGAUUUGUUUGGGGCUCACAUUUAGACAGAGAACAAAGACUUCUCUGUCAUUUUUGUAGUUUUGUUCAUUUGUAUUUGAAAAUAGCAGUUCUCUCUCUGGCCUGACUGCAUCCCUUUGAUGGUAACUGAAGCUUUCCAUUGCAGCGGUGCUCCUGACGGGGGCGACAUUGAACCUGCUCAGGGCUCAGGGCUCCUCUUCCCGGCUCUGUGGCCUCCCCGAACAUGAGUAACACUAUGGCCUGCAAAGAUAGGACUUAAUUGUCCUUAAAAGGAAAAAUGCCUGCAUGACCAGAGUUGGACCAAGCCAGAACAGGAGCCCCUGAGAAGUGCUAGGGCUCACUGGCAGACAAAACUCAGCGCUUUAUUUCCUUUGUAGAUGUUGAUGCAGGUAAGUGGCAUUGGGACAGUAUGACGUGUUUCAUGAUGACAGUCACGCUCUGCUUGGUGACCUCUGACCUCCCUCUUCAGGGGCUCUGGAGGUUAACAUUUUUGUACAUCCACACCGGAAAGAAUGUACUCAAGAGUAGAAAAUGUGGGAGGAAUUUAGUGAAUGAAUAGAACUUAGCGGGCAGAGAAAAUAACUAGGUAAUUUUGUCCACCAAAAACCCCAAUUACCAGUUAUUUACAGCCCACUGGUCUGCAACUUCGGUUGCCUAAUCAGACAUUCAUAUAAGUGCAGUCCCUUGCUCAAACAGUAAUCCCUUGUCUUGACUGACUCUCAGACAAGGAAGAGCAGGCAGAGGAGAUUGUAAAGCAGAAGCAAAGUAGUUGAAAGCCACUGAGAGUGGUUGAGGACAUGGGUGGGUUCACAUCUGUAAUGUGUUGGAAGCUGAAUACAGCUGUUUGGCACUUUCAACAGGCAGUGACCAUGAAUGGGAUGUCCUGCCUCCAGGGCAGUGCAAACAGGCCUCCAGCCAGACAGCCAUCUCGCUCUCCUUUUCCUCCAGCUGUGUCUGCAGAAGGGUCCCGAGUAGCAUCCUGUAGUUCCAACCUGCUUACUCCUUAGGACUAGGAAACAAGAAAAUCACUGCUAACCCCACUCCAAACUUGCCUGAUUUCAGAGCUCAGUAUCAUUCUGCAGUUUGCAGUCACACUGGGAGGGUCUUUUUCUCGUAUAUGAGAAGGAGGACAGAAUGUUGGAAGGGAACGCUCCUCGACAGAUGGGAAUGAGAGUGGUGUGAGUAACUAACUGGAGGCAAUAAAGGUGUUAGCAAACAGCAGGAGGGAAGAGUGGGCCCCACCGAUCACUGGCUGUCCCGCAUGCUGUGUGUUGUACCAGUGCCAGUGGGAGCUGCCUAUCCAAGCCUUGGUAUUAACAGCAUGUGACUCUGGCAGAUUCACAAUGUCCUCAUUGGCUUUGUCAGUAUGACAAGCUUUGACUGAGUCCCUAUCCAACUGAGGGGCCACCAUCCCCGUCACCCUCCUUUCUGAUGCCUUUUCUCCUGAUCAUCCCUUCUUCUUCCUUCUUCUUUGUCUGGCUUCUUUUGUUCUUCCUUUUUCUGUCCCUCACUCCUCCUUACAUUAUAUUCCCAGCUUCCUUUGGGAUUUUUGUUUUAACAUAAGGAGAACCUUACCAUCGAUGUCAAGCUCAGCAUGAUAUAACCAAUUACCCUAAAACCACAGCCAUCUAGCCUUAUCUUGUAUUAAAAAAAAAAAAAAGAAAAAAAAACAGAUGUUGCCUAUAAUUGUAUAUCUGCUCAGGUUUAAACAUAAAUUGCAGUGAGAAUUCUUAAGGCAAGAAUACCAUUGAACCAAAAUACGUUAUAACAGAAAGGGGUCUCAGAUGCUUAUUACCUCCUCCCAACUGUAUUUCAUUUUACAACAAAGCAAAUCACAGCUUGGAAAAGUUAAAUGAGUUCCUAAGGUUCCACAAUAAAUAAGGGCGAAGGGGCCACUACUUAGGACCCAGAUCUCCUGAUCCCUAUCUAGUGAUUUUUUUUACUUCAUGAAUUUUAAUGUAAAAAAAGAAAAAGAAGCCACAGAUCCUCUAGACCCUUAUGCAAUAUAGGGAAAUAUUCCUUAACCCCAAUCGUGCUUUAAUCCUUCUUCUACUGAAACAAAUACAGCUAAUGAAUUAGAGAUGCUCUUUUGUUCUCCUGUUAACUAUCUGACCUUAAGGAAGUCACUCAACCAAUUGGUUCUCAGUAUUCUCUUUCCACACUGAGGGAAGUGGACAGAUAAUCUAUGGUUGCUUCCAGCUCCAAAAUUCAGUGACCCUUUAAGCUUAACUUCUUUCACCAGAAUACCUGUCAUUUCUAGGUAAAUAGUGUUCUCAGUCCUUUCUGUUAAAAGAGGUUAAGUAAAUAAAAAGGAAAGAUCAGGCUAUGCUUUUGGCCUAGAUUAUAACUUUGUGACCAAGGAUGAAGGAAUUUAAUAGCAAUAAGAAAGCUUCCAGGGUCUACCAUUUACAAUUUAAAUACUUUACUUGGGAGGUUAAAAGUUCAAAGUUGAGUCACAGUCUGAGGUGGCUCUGCUCUUCCUUUUUAAUUAUCUGAGGUCAGGAAGUUAAUAAUACGAGAAAUCCCCAGCGGAGACCUCUUGUGCACUGUGUGAACUUUAAACUUGCUCAUUUUUUUCUUAAGGGUAAAAAGUUCAGCAGAAACACAGUGGACUUUUCCUCUUAGCCUCCACCCAUUCAUCCCCCAAGGUCAAAAGUUGAACUGUAAAACAGAAACCCUUGUUCUCUGAUCCACAUUUAAACAGAUCACUUAUUAAAAGGUAAACAUUCCACAUGCAAGCCAAAGUUCCAAGUGAAUCUGCUCAAUAAAAAUAAAAAAACUGUAAUAAAGUCUUUGAUCUUUUCCACUUGUCUUAGAAUUGAACAACAGAAUUUAUUUUCUCGUUUUUUGAAUCUCAGAGAAGGGGCAGUCAUAUAAGCUCUUUCCUCACCUACCUCUGCCCUGAGAUUGGCAUAUCUAAAAGAGAUAAACCUAAGAUAUUUUAAAAUAGUCAGAUUUGGAGCCUUACCUUAAGGCAAUUUCUUCAACUAAUUCUACGCCAUUUAUGUUUGUUUAUUUGUUUUGCUCAAACAGGAAUUCAAGAACAGCAAAUGUGAUUUAAAUCAGAGAUAUAAAGUACUACAGAAUAAAAAGGAGUUUGCUGAAAAUGGUAGAGGAUGCUGUAUUAGUCCGUUUUGCUGCUGAUAAAGACAUAUCUGAGACUGGGCAAUUUACAAAAGAAAGAGGUUUAGUGGACUUACAGUUCCACUUGGCUGGGGAAGCCUCACAAUCAUGGUGGAAGGUGAUAGGCAUGUCUCAUAUGGAUGGCACAGGCAAAAAAAAAAAAAUGCUUGGGCAGGGAAACUUCCUCUUAUAAAACCAUCGGAUCUCGUGAGACUUAUUUACUAUCAUGAGAACAGCAUGGGAAAGACCUCCCACCAGGUCCCCCCGACCCACCACAACACGUGGGAAUUUAAUAUGAGAUUUGGGUGGGGACAAAACCAAACCAUAUCAGAUGCAGAGAAAAUAAAGAAAUGGAUGAAUAUAUCCAAUGAACCUCAUAUGAAUAAUGAAUGGAAAAUAUCUGAGAUCUUCACAGUGUUAAAGCUCAAACAAGAAGUGAAAUAAAUAGCUACAGAGCUCCAAAUAAGUAUUUAAUGAUAGUGACAAGACUCACUUUCUUGAAGUAAUGAUGGCAAACUUUAAAAGUAUGGAAAAGCCAUUGACCGAAUACUAACCCAAUCCAAUCAGCAUGCUUAGGAAAACUCCCUGAGAUGAUCACAUGAAGCUGUUAUUUCAUGCAACCCAUGUGUCCGUUUUUUUCAAUGUGUACUUAUUGGAAAUGCUUUCACUUGUUUAAACAAGUCCUACCUGUGACUCAAUAUUUGUUUAAAAACUUUUUAAGAAAGCAUCUUUGUCACCGUUUAUCUAUCUAAAUGCGAAUAAUACCACUUGCUUCCCACCUUAAUAAUUUUUGUAAAGAUUCUCAUUAGAGAAUACUUAAGCACAGAAAACGGUAAGAGCCUUGAAAUUAAGAUAUACAAUGAACACGUUUAUAAUAAAUACUUUUCACUGAUGUCAGUUUCGACAGUGUCAUUUAAGUUUAAACGACUUUGUGAUCACUUCUAACACAAAUCAAAACUAGAAGAUAUGGCUCUAAGUAAGUUGUGUUCUAGAUCCAUUUACACUGUGAGUAACAUUCACGACACCCUCUGGGACUCCUGGAUGCAGCUGGUGACCCAGACCCAGGAAUGACACAGCCAGGAAGGAAGUGAGGAAGGUGCACAGAGCUACUUCCUCUUGUUAGAACUCCCCUCUCAACAGCUGUAAGGAAGAAUGGAAAUUCCCUAUGAAUCAAAGUGUGACUUCGAAGUAUGGGAUACAAUUUGAGAGACCUGAUCAUAUUGAUUAGGAUGUUGACCAAAAGGAAGUCACUGCAUUUCAUUUGGACACUACUCAGACAUUUAAGCUGGUAUGACAUUCAUGAGAAACUUCUGGUUUCAAUUCAUCUUUUUCCCAUGAAUAUUUAUGUUCCUUUUUUUUAAUCUUUAAGUCAGUUCAUGAUAUUCAAGCUAGUUAUUUCCAACCUUCUGUCUGACUGAAUUCUGUAUUAAAUCUUUCUUUGUUUCCCCCCUGCAAAACAGGUUAAUUCAUGAGAGGCUAUUAUAUAGCAAGGACCAUGCUGCCAUGCUGUCUGUGUUCUGGGCAUAUGUACCCUCAAAGUCCUCAUAGGAUAGAAAUAGUACUAAAUCUGUAUACAAUGAACUGGACACAACAAUGUGGGGACUAUACUACAAAUACUAUGAACAAAGUGCCGGGAGAACCCUGAGUCUUUGCCAUGUUCUUUGAUGCCUUUGUGCCUUACACAUUCUGAUCCCGCCACCUAAAAUAAUCCUCUUGUCCUUCAUCCCUGGGACCCUGUACUCUGCCUCAGUGCUUCUCUUCCUACACACUUCACCUCCCCUUGCCUCUCUGAAUGUAAGUGUCUCUUCCACAGCAAUCUGUGCAAAGACUAACACCAGAGUAACUAUCUUACAGUAUUGUAACACUUAGCUAAUUUUUCUGCCUCCAACAAUAAAUUCUGAUCUAUUUGAGGAAGUGAACUCCAAUACCAUUCUCAAGGAAGUCCUUUUUUAGAAAUAUAGACUGAAACCUGACAGAAAAGGGAUUCAGUGUAUAUCCUAAAGGAUGGCAUAGGAGAG